UCCAUAAAAACAUGACCUCCCUCACGGCAAUUCCAGCAUACUAACUGCCUGGUUUGUUGUUGCUGGUUAAAGCGAAUAGCAGCCACUUCUUCUACAUCCGGCUGAAAAUCUGUCUCCAAUCUACCAUAUUCGCCAACAUACAUUUCAUUUACGUGUCUAGCGGGGCGCGAAUUCAUUUGGAUUGGCCUUUGUUCUCUACGUGGAAAGUUACGUUCUGCCUCCUUACACUCUGUUCGAAGCAUCUCGACCGUAGAAAUAGACAUGGGCUGGGCCAUAUUAUGAAAAUAAACGUCUAUUGGCUCAUUUACCACCUGCUUCCUGUCGACUAACUCUCUCAUUGCUUCGAAAGUGGAUUUAGUUGUCCUAUAUUGACACAUUAAUGCCUCUCUUAAAUGGGACCAGCUGGAAAAAUUCUUCAGCCUCUGAGCAUACCAAAACCACUCCAAAGCUGGACCGGAAACUAACAAUCUAAAAUCCCGUAGAACUUCCUCCCAAGGUAUACCAUACUGGGUCUGCAAACAUUCUAACCGGAAGAUAAAUUCCUCAACAGUCAAUCGUUAAUUCGGAAAAGAAUUGUUACUAUUGGCGGAAGGCAUCGUAAAUCUAGGCCUAUUAGUGGACGAGGUACUGGACGCGUCAUUUCGUGUGUCAACUCCAGUAUUACCACCGACAGAUGAAUUGUCAUUGGCUUCGGUCCUCUGUAACGCCAUAGCCGGGGCCCUAUCUUGAAUCACCAUGUUGGACAAGUCCCUCACUGUUCUGGCUAGUGACUCCACGGUCCUCCUGACAUCACGCAACUCAUUGCCUAUCAUAGCCUUCAUAGUUUCCUCGAAAGACCGAUUUGCUGGCAUUAAACCUGCUGCUUCAGCGUUUGAAGUAUUAUUUGGCCCCUGUUGCAUUGCCUCACUAGUGGAAGGUGGGACAGGGACACCGUUUGAUGGACCGGGUCGAGAUAUAAUACUGCCAGACAAAUCCCGAAUCUGACCGUUGCCUAUAUCCGUUGGAUUCCCUGAAUUAAUCAUUUUCGUUCUUUUAGGGUCUAUAUUCGUUACAGUAUUGUUCAGAUCUGACUCUGUCCUAUUUCUUUUAGAUCUUGAACGUGACCUUGUAUUCAUAACACGAUGUGUGUAAA
Molecule: long non-coding RNA, 1132 nt
Organism: Stomoxys calcitrans (stable fly)
Lineage: Eukaryota; Metazoa; Arthropoda; Insecta; Diptera; Muscidae
Exons: 3
Source: RefSeq, a predicted model, not a curated record